This 80-nucleotide ribozyme is filed under the name Crocodylus porosus (Australian saltwater crocodile). RNAcentral describes it as "Mammalian CPEB3 ribozyme (ENSCPRG00005006976.1)". It matches the Rfam family "Mammalian CPEB3 ribozyme". From Rfam's summary of the family: The mammalian CPEB3 ribozyme is a self cleaving RNA located in the second intron of the CPEB3 gene which belongs to a family of genes regulating messenger RNA polyadenylation. This ribozyme is highly conserved and found only in mammals. The record is from Rfam by way of RNAcentral. Lineage: Eukaryota; Metazoa; Chordata; Crocodylia; Crocodylidae.
AGAGGUCACAAGUUUGAGGCCAUGGUAGAACUGCUCAUGAUGCAGCCAUGUCAGAUUCCAAUGAAUCUGCAAAUUCUGCU